This 660-nucleotide ribosomal RNA is filed under the name Aspergillus flavus. RNAcentral describes it as "eukaryotic LSU rRNA". The stretch from base 187 to 340 matches the Rfam family "5.8S ribosomal RNA". The record is from RNAcentral. Lineage: Eukaryota; Fungi; Ascomycota; Eurotiomycetes; Eurotiales; Aspergillaceae.
GGGCUUCCGGGUGUAGGUUCCUAGCGAGCCCACCUCCCACCCGUGUUUACUGUACCUUAGUUGCUUCGGCGGGCCCGCCAUUCAUGGCCGCCGGGGGCUCUCAGCCCCGGGCCCGCGCCCGCCGGAGACACCACGAACUCUGUCUGAUCUAGUGAAGUCUGAGUUGAUUGUAUCGCAAUCAGUUAAAACUUUCAACAAUGGAUCUCUUGGUUCCGGCAUCGAUGAAGAACGCAGCGAAAUGCGAUAACUAGUGUGAAUUGCAGAAUUCCGUGAAUCAUCGAGUCUUUGAACGCACAUUGCGCCCCCUGGUAUUCCGGGGGGCAUGCCUGUCCGAGCGUCAUUGCUGCCCAUCAAGCACGGCUUGUGUGUUGGGUCGUCGUCCCCUCUCCGGGGGGGACGGGCCCCAAAGGCAGCGGCGGCACCGCGUCCGAUCCUCUAGCGUAUGGGGCUUUGUCACCCGCUCUGUAGGCCCGGCCGGUGCUUGCCGAACGCAAAUCAAUCUUUUUCCAGGUUGACCUCGGAUCAUGUAGGGAUACCCGCUGAACUUAAUCAUAUCUAUAAGCGGAAGGAUCAUUACGAGUGUAGGGUUCUAGCGAGCCCACUCACCGUGUUUACUGUACUUAGUUGCUUCGCGGUCGCAUUCAUGGCCGCCGGGGGCUC